Molecule: ribosomal RNA, 425 nt
Filed under: uncultured bacterium
Lineage: Bacteria
Description: bacterial SSU rRNA
Rfam family: Bacterial small subunit ribosomal RNA
Source: RNAcentral
UGGGGAAUAUUGCGCAAUGGGCGGAAGCCUGACGCAGCGACGCCGCGUGAGGGAUGAAGGCCUUCGGGUUGUAAACCUCUUUCAGCAGGGACGAAGCGCAAGUGACGGUACCUGCAGAAGAAGCACCGGCCAACUACGUGCCAGCAGCCGCGGUAAUACGUAGGGUGCAAGCGUUGUCCGGAAUUAUUGGGCGUAAAGAGCUCGUAGGCGGUCUGUCGCGUCGGCUGUGAAAUCUCGGGGCUCAACCCCGAGCCUGCAGUCGAUACGGGCAGACUAGAGUGCUGUAGGGGAGACUGGAAUUCCUGGUGUAGCGGUGAAAUGCGCAGAUAUCAGGAGGAACACCGGUGGCGAAGGCGGGUCUCUGGGCAGUAACUGACGCUGAGGAGCGAAAGCGUGGGGAGCGAACAGGAUUAGAUACCCUGGUA